This is an RNA transcript of Carica papaya (papaya), 948 nucleotides long. RefSeq lists it as uncharacterized. The record is from RefSeq and is a predicted model, not a curated record. Lineage: Eukaryota; Viridiplantae; Streptophyta; Magnoliopsida; Brassicales; Caricaceae.
UUAAGUCAUCAUACUCCAGGCCACAAUCUUCUGCGACCCGGCUGCCAAAGCCAGAGCUGCUCUUCUUAUCCGAUCAACUCUACCUACAUUCGUAUGUUUUAUCAGUAAUGGUUUGUCCCGUCUCUUGUUUUCUACGAUACACUGACAACAUUUACAGAGCUGGCGUGUUUGGCGAAAAGUUGCAAGCUUUCUGUGUUUGUGGGGAGGGAAACGCUGCGAUUUAUUAACGCACGCAACGUGUUCGAUACAAUAUCUCAACGGUAACUUAUUAACUGCGCUUCAAUUUUCAGGCGCACACCUUUUAAAAAUCAGCAAUCAAGAUGCUAUACGAUGGAUUCAAGGAGAUAUUAAAGAUUCAGAAGUUCCGGAGGAUCGCAUCUUAUACUGGAUUCUAUUGUUUUGUUGCGGUGCUGAGUUAUGCUUACACAAACAACACAACGAGGGCAGGGUAUUCUAGAGCUGAUCAAUUCUAUGCGUCUUACCCAGCUGGAACUGAGCUUUUAACCGACACAGCUAAGUUGUAUAAAGCCGCGCUUGGCAAUUGCUUUGAAUCGGAGGAAUGGGGCCCGAUUGAGUUCUGCAUAAUGGCAAAACACUUUGAGCGUCAAGGGAAAUCACCAUAUGCAUAUCAUGCACAAUAUAUGGCACACCUCCUUUCCCUUGGACAACUUGAUGGAAGCGGUUAGGGGGAGAUAUCAAUCAACAGGCAGUUUACAAAUUAACGUCUCAGGGAAAAGUUUUCAAAUCUAUCAACAAGGGAAGAGUUGAUGAAAUCUGUGAUGCCACUGCUGCUUUCACUUAGUAGAUGAACGGACUCCACAUGUUGAUGCAGUGAAGCUAUUACUCUUGAAGAGGCAUGGGUGCCGCUUAGGUUUACCAGAUCUUUUCUGCGGAGCCAAUGUGCUUGUAGGAGUAUAUUGUAUUCCUACUAACUCCUGGAGUUUUGCU